Labeo rohita (rohu) is the source of this 4102-nucleotide long non-coding RNA. RefSeq lists it as uncharacterized. Lineage: Eukaryota; Metazoa; Chordata; Actinopteri; Cypriniformes; Cyprinidae. The transcript has 6 exons. The record is from RefSeq and is a predicted model, not a curated record.
GACGAAGUACACAAGUUGAGUACUUGAGUAAAAAUACAGAUACGUAUAAUAAAAUAUUACUCCAGUAAAAGUAUAAGUGCUCCUCUUUCAAUUUUACUCGAGUGAAAGUACAAAAGUACCCGAUUUUUAUGUACUUAAGUAAAAAAGUACUGAUAGAUUUAUUUUGCAAUUUUAUAUAGGCUACUUAAUUGAAUUUUAUAUUGGCACAUAUUUUUUUAUAAUACCACUGCUCAAAAUACCUGGGAUUUUCCCCAAACAAUACAUUUUUGUUGUUGAUAUGGACUAUGUUGACGAGAGUGAUAUAGUAAUAUUCAAUGUGAAGCUUACACUGCAAUGUACCUGAGAGAAAACAGAUUUGACCAUCAUAGUUUUACCAGUAAGAAAAAAGUGUUUUAAAGCUUGUUUUGCAUAACGUGAGGCCUGAAGUUAGCAAGAACAUUUUAAGGACAUUUUAAGGAAAAUAUAAUUAUGUUUACAUAAUGAUAUUUUCCUUUCAAAUAUUGUCUGUGUAAAAACACCUCUGGCCAAAUGUUCCCAGAGAGCAUCACUUUCCACUUUGAUAAUUACUGUAGUUACCAUGACCUGAACAUCACAUUCUUUCUUUUUCCCUCGGAUGUAAUCUAUCUAGGUGGUUGAAUAAAAUUAUGUGGACUUUCUAUCUAAAAAUUAUCUCAACUUAGCACCAGCAAGCAGCUAGACAGUUAGCAUCAGCUAACAGUAUUUACUUAAUUAUUUUCAGUAUGGUUGAAUAAACAUUCAUAUCUGUCUACUCUAGCUGAUCCAAACAAUAUAAAAAUUUAUACUGUUGCUAAACAAUAUAAAAACAGACGUCACGUAGGGCUACAUGCGUAGCAUUUUAAUAAAACUGCUAACGUUACAUCAGCGAGGAAUAUGAACGUGCAGGAGUUAUUUUAUUUAAGCUGUUAUUUAAAAUUUUCGUUUUUGAUGUGUCUGAAUUCAAACAUUUCAGUGCGCUUAAACAGACAACUUUUUACAGCAUAUGUAAUUCACAAACAACGGACAGCUUUGACCUAAAUGUGAUUUUCAGUUAUAAUAAUUAAUCUGAAAAUUCGACAUUAGUAACUUACUUUUCUCAGCAUCGGUCACGCACGCACAAGAUCUCCCGGUUCUUACUUGUGAAUUCAGUUGACUGGAGACUCGCUCUAAACGGAUCAUUUGAAUCAAUGAGUUGUCGACUCGAGAACAGCUGCAAUCGGAUCAUUCCAGUUCGUGAAUGAAUCGUUUGGUGCGAUUGGCGAUUCAAUUUAACAGGUUCACUGAAAAGAAUCGGUUUGUUCAUGAAUCAGACACCGCUUGUGCGUCUCAGAGCACGUGAUAUAUUAUAAGGAGUAACGAUAUGUUUAUGAAAUGCAGUGAAGUAAAAAGUAUGAUCUUACGCUUUGGAAUGUAGUGAAGUAAAAGUGAAAGUUACUCAAAAUAAAACUACUCCAGUAAAGUACAGAUACUUAAAAAAUGUACUUAAGUACACAACAAAAUCUCCAGUGUUAAAAUCCUGGUGUUAAGGACUUUUAGAGUAAAGAGUUAAACUUGUGGUGUUGAAUUUGAGAGGAUUAACACUAGCUAGUGUAAACAGCGCCCUCUGGCCGGUGUAAAUACGCAGAGUUACCCUUAUUAACACUGUUGAGUGUUAUCAGUCACAUCCGGGACAUUUGCUCGUGUGCGCGCCUCACCCAUCUGAAAUAUUUUUUACAGACGCCAUUUUCUUUGCUCGCGAUGCGGAGCAUAAUGAGGACGGGAAACAGCGAAAUACAGCGUUUAAUCUUAAUUACAAAAUGUAAUGUAAUGUCAUAUCGUUUAAUAACGAUAUUUAUGUGCUGUAUGUGGCUAAAAUUUUCUCUGAGACAUGUUUAUCCACUCGCGAUGUGGAACAGACCAGAGUCCUGUGUACUCCUAAACUUUUUCUCAGAGAGAUAUUUUCUUUCACUCACGAUACAGAGGAGACCAGUUUUAUCAAGGAAAACACCGAAAAUUUGAAUUGCAAUACGGAGCUGAUGCAGAUGAGCCGCUUUUAAUAGGGAAACUUAAGGGAGAUAUUUUCUUUCACUCACAAUGCGGAGCAGACGGGGAAGUUGGUUUUAUCAAGGAAACACCUAAAAUUUGAAUUGUUAUGCAGGGCAGACGCAGAGGUCACUUUAUCAGGAACAUAGAGAUAUUCUUUCACUCUGGAGAUGAUGUGCUUGAAGAGUAUGAAGUCACCAUUACAUUAAGUGGGAUGAGAAGAGCUCUGUUAGGACACAUACCAGAAACAAGGGAGGAGUCCAACCUCAAUGCAGAGAGAGAUCAGUACGCACUUGGAAUUAUGACUUUGUUUCUGUUGUUAAAAGACUAAUUUUCCAGUAAGACUGACUUUCUUUUUACAAUAUAUAUACAUACAUUUACAGUGAAUUAAAUGAUUUUCCUUAAAAGAGUAAGUCACCCAAAAAUGAAAAUCGAGUCAACAUUUACUUAGCCUUGGCCUUGUGUUGCUCUAAUGCCAUAUGCCUUUUUUUCUUUUUUGGACCACAAAAGGAGAUUAAAAAAAUGCCCUGAACAAAGUUAUCCAUAUAAUGUCAGUAUAUGUCUUCUGUAGAUUAUUCAAAAUAUUUUUUUGUUCUUCUUAAAAGACCGAAGGUCCAAAAUGAUGACAAAUUUUUCAGUUUUGGGUAAACUAUUUUGAAUUGUAUUUUAUUGUAUUGUCUAGAUUUAAACUGACAGUCUGCCCCCCGAACAGUAGGAGGUAGAUUAUUCCAGAGUUUGGGAGCUAAAUAGGAAAAGGAUCUGCCACCCGCAGUUGAUUUUGAUAUUCUGGGUAUUAUUGACUCUGGCCUUGAAUAAAAAUCUACAUUAAAGACCCAUCUCUUUAACCUGGCUUAUAUGUAAUGCACUUACACAUUUAUUUAAUUCAAAUCGGUUAAAGCAUUGUUAGGCUGCAUUAAUUAGGUCAGCCAAAACUGGGAACACGUCCCUUAACACAUGAUGUACUUGUUACAUUGUAAGAAAGAAUGGCAUCUACGCUAAUAUUAGUCUGUUUUGUUCUUAUUUCGAGGUCACUGUAGCCACCCAGAUCCAGACUGAAUCCAGAUCAGAUGGUCACUGCAGUUCCCUGGAUCCAGUCCGUAUCCAGUCCAGAUGGUGGAUCAGUACCUAGAGAUGACCUCUACAGCCCUGAACGUCAGCGGAGACCAUGACAACUACAUGAGCCCCAGAGACAGAUCCCCUGCGAACACCUCGUCAACACACCCAUUGGCACAAGACCUCUGCUCAAUCUGACUUUGUUGCAGCCUAGAUUUCGACACACUAUUUCCCUGUUUAAUACUGUAAAGCUGCACUGAUACAAUCUGCAUUGUAAAAAAUGGAUGUAAAAUUAUCCUGUUUGUUAUUUAGUUUUCUAAUUUUACAGGAGCACUUUUGAAAUGCUCCAAGUGGGAGUGAAUAUCUUGCUUGGCUGAAAACAGCAGAGAAACACAUCUUGUCAUGCUGAAAACAAAGCAAAGACUGUUGUUAAAGCUGAUAAAUGUAAGCAUUAUAAACCUUAAAACAUUAAGAGCACGUAUGGACCAAAUAAGAAUUUGUAUUUUGUGCCUUUGCUUUGAUUUGCCUUGACAUUAUGAUGUUUUAGAUGUUGUGAGAACAUGUAAAAAACAUGUAUUGAAAACACUAAAUGUGUUUCAAUUAAAAAAAAUUAAUUAAUGUAAACGUAUUGUUUUGUGGGUUUAUUUUUUAAUAUUUUCACCUGAACACUGGUAUUGUGUUGACCAGUUACUCCAUGAGUGCUAAAUUUGAACACCAACUUUGGUGUUUUCAUCAUCCAUUCUGGUGUUAAUAUUUUACAUUUUAGGAGUUUAUUAGUAACACUGUCUCAGUGUUAAAAAUGUCAACACUUUCAAAAGUGUUAGUUUAACACUUUACUGGUGGUAUCCAUAUAUACACUGGAUAAGUGUUAAUUUUAACUCUGAGAGAGUUAAAUUCACCCGUUAAAAUUUGUAGUGUACAACUACUUCGUUACUGCCCACCACUGUCUAACUCUAAAGAUCGCCAAAGUUUUACAACAAUUCAAUCAAACUGUUUUAAUUUUGGCACUACUUUUUUAAAAAACGUUUAC